Molecule: long non-coding RNA, 422 nt
Filed under: Junco hyemalis (dark-eyed junco)
Lineage: Eukaryota; Metazoa; Chordata; Aves; Passeriformes; Passerellidae
Description: lncRNA (ENSJHYG00000009307.1)
Source: RNAcentral
UGGGGAUCACCUGAAUGCAAUUAACAAGGAUGAGGCACAGUGGUGCAGCAAACUUGUAUUUGAGUUUCAAACCUUUACAAAAAAGCAUAACAAAUUAGUCAAGUAGUCUCUUCCUCUUCAAGCUUUUUUUUCUGCAAGUGUGGAAGGGGAAAAAACAGCAAACAAUCUUGAUUUUUUGGAAGAAAGCAUAGUACUGCAAGCUUUGAGUUAAAGAAAUACAUGGAAGCAAAAGAAGGGGACACAAUGACUACCGUCUACGCCAGUGACUGCAAUCUCAGCUCAGCCAAGCUGAGUAAGGUUAAAGUAAGGAGCCUCCUCCAAAGACAUUGCUGCUGCAAGAGCUCCACACAGUCUGGUGAACCACCAGCCUUGACAAGAAGGAGAUUGCACAUCAUGUUGUCCUGCUAGCAAACUGAUUCUCC